RNAcentral lists this ribosomal RNA (1479 nucleotides) under uncultured bacterium. Its description in RNAcentral is "bacterial SSU rRNA". It matches the Rfam family "Bacterial small subunit ribosomal RNA". The record is from RNAcentral.
GAUUGAACGCUGGCGGCAGGCCUAACACAUGCAAGUCGAGCGGUAGCACAGAGAGCUUGCUCUCGGGUGACGAGCGGCGGACGGGUGAGUAAUGUCUGGGAAACUGCCUGAUGGAGGGGGAUAACUACUGGAAACGGUAGCUAAUACCGCAUAACGUCGCAAGACCAAAGUGGGGGACCUUCGGGCCUCAUGCCAUCAGAUGUGCCCAGAUGGGAUUAGCUAGUAGGUGGGGUAACGGCUCACCUAGGCGACGAUCCCUAGCUGGUCUGAGAGGAUGACCAGCCACACUGGAACUGAGACACGGUCCAGACUCCUACGGGAGGCAGCAGUGGGGAAUAUUGCACAAUGGGCGCAAGCCUGAUGCAGCCAUGCCGCGUGUGUGAAGAAGGCCUUCGGGUUGUAAAGCACUUUCAGCGGGGAGGAAGGCGUUAAGGUUAAUAACCUUGGCGAUUGACGUUACCCGCAGAAGAAGCACCGGCUAACUCCGUGCCAGCAGCCGCGGUAAUACGGAGGGUGCAAGCGUUAAUCGGAAUUACUGGGCGUAAAGCGCACGCAGGCGGUCUGUCAAGUCGGAUGUGAAAUCCCCGGGCUCAACCUGGGAACUGCAUUCGAAACUGGCAGGCUAGAGUCUUGUAGAGGGGGGUAGAAUUCCAGGUGUAGCGGUGAAAUGCGUAGAGAUCUGGAGGAAUACCGGUGGCGAAGGCGGCCCCCUGGACAAAGACUGACGCUCAGGUGCGAAAGCGUGGGGAGCAAACAGGAUUAGAUACCCUGGUAGUCCACGCCGUAAACGAUGUCGAUUUGGAGGUUGUGCCCUUGAGGCGUGGCUUCCGGAGCUAACGCGUUAAAUCGACCGCCUGGGGAGUACGGCCGCAAGGUUAAAACUCAAAUGAAUUGACGGGGGCCCGCACAAGCGGUGGAGCAUGUGGUUUAAUUCGAUGCAACGCGAAGAACCUUACCUGGUCUUGACAUCCACAGAACUUUCCAGAGAUGGAUUGGUGCCUUCGGGAACUGUGAGACAGGUGCUGCAUGGCUGUCGUCAGCUCGUGUUGUGAAAUGUUGGGUUAAGUCCCGCAACGAGCGCAACCCUUAUCCUUUGUUGCCAGCGGUUCGGCCGGGAACUCAAAGGAGACUGCCAGUGAUAAACUGGAGGAAGGUGGGGAUGACGUCAAGUCAUCAUGGCCCUUACGACCAGGGCUACACACGUGCUACAAUGGCAUAUACAAAGAGAAGCGACCUCGCGAGAGCAAGCGGACCUCAUAAAGUAUGUCGUAGUCCGGAUUGGAGUCUGCAACUCGACUCCAUGAAGUCGGAAUCGCUAGUAAUCGUAGAUCAGAAUGCUACGGUGAAUACGUUCCCGGGCCUUGUACACACCGCCCGUCACACCAUGGGAGUGGGUUGCAAAAGAAGUAGGUAGCUUAACCUUCGGGAGNGGCGACUUACCACUUUGUGAUUCAUGACUGGGGUGAAGUCGUAACAAGG